Molecule: ribosomal RNA, 305 nt
Filed under: uncultured bacterium
Lineage: Bacteria
Description: partial 16S ribosomal RNA
Rfam family: Bacterial small subunit ribosomal RNA
Source: RNAcentral
ACAGCAGUAGCCGCGGGAAUGCGUAGGUGGCAAGCGUUGUCCGGAUUUAUUGGGCGUAAAGCGAGCGCAGGCGGUCAAUUAAGUCUGAUGUGAAAGCCCCCGGCUCAACCGGGGAGGGUCAUUGGAAACUGGUUGACUUGAGUGCAGAAGAGGAGAGUGGAAUUCCAUGUGUAGCGGUGAAAUGCGUAGAUAUAUGGAGGAACACCAGUGGCGAAGGCGACUCUCUGGUCUGUAACUGACGCUGAGGCUCGAAAGCGUGGGUAGCAAACAGGAUUAGAUACCCCUGUAGUCCCUGUCUCUUAUAC